UACGGGAAAGGGCCGAACCAAGUGAAUCAAAGUACGUCUUCCGCCGCGAUCGGGAAACCCUAAUCCUUCGACGCUUUAUGCAAAAGGGCCUGUCGAUCUCCAAUUCGCCGUUCUCUCCAAUCCAUUGAGGGGAUUGUUAUGGCAACGGAAUCGGCUUCGGCUUCGAGCUCGAAUCCCUCGUCGUCGUCCCUGUACUCCUACCCGGCCACCACCUACUUCCCUCUCCCGUUUCAUCUCCAGAACACCGACCCUGCGGCUCAGCAGCAGUAUCUCCCGCCGUCCCAGAUCCCACCGCCCGUUAAGAUCCCCACGAUGGCGCAGACGUUCCCCGUUCCGGCCCCCGUCGUCGCCGGGAUGUAUUCGCUUCCGCAGUUCCAGCAGGCACAACAACUUUUUCAACGGGAUGCACAAACCAUCACUCCAGAGGCUAUAGAGGUUGUGAAAGCUGCACUUGCAAAUAGUGAAGUUGACCAUAAAUCAGACACAAAAAAGAAAGCAAUACCACGUAAAGCAGCUGGUCAGAGUUGGGAGGAUCCAACUUUGGCAGAAUGGCCAGAGAAUGAUUUUCGAUUAUUUUGUGGAGAUCUAGGCAACGAAGUCAAUGAUGAUGUCCUCUCAAAAGCAUUUUCAAGGUUCCCCUCCUUCAACAUGGCAAGAGUGAUAAGAGACAAGAGAACUGGAAAAACCAAAGGUUAUGGAUUUGUCAGCUUUUCAAACCCAUCAGACCUUGCAGCAGCUGUCAAAGAAAUGAAUGGAAAAUACGUUGGAAAUCGUCCUAUAAAGUUGCGUAAAAGCACAUGGAGGGAAAGAACAGAUGUUGAAGCUUUGGAAAGGCAAAAGAAUUACAUUCAGAAGAAACCAAAACUACCAAAGAAAGGUAUUCUGCACAAGUGAAGCUUCAAGAUCACAACCUUGACUUACGCAUGAAAACUUGUUUUCGCAAUUAAUUCUAGAGAAUAUACAACUGAACUCAUCUAGAGUGCAAUUUGUGGUGAAUGACGUGCUACAAAAUUUAUGGGUGCUUUUGUAACAUCGAGAAGCAACGUCAACUAUUUACCUUCUUGAUAAAGAGUGGAUGGGAUGUUGGUCUUUAUGGUUGUUGAAUGCAAUGGCAGCUGGGCAUCAAUUAGACUGCUACCACAAGCGCUUGUGGAUGUCGGUAUUAUAUCGGUUCGGUUAAUUACGUUUCCAUUUGCGGUGUGGAUCGACUGGUACGUACGGUGGUAGCUGGUCAAUGUUUUUGACUGAUCGAAAGGUGACACGCGGAAUCGCAGAUGAUAAAAUCAAUCGAUCAGGAUUUUUGGACUAUAAUAUGGCUGUCCCUCGCACCACUCAGUAAUUGUCACGAUCGGGUGUGUUCGGAUGAUUAACUUAAUUGAUUUUUUUUAAUCUGAACCGUAAUAUAAAAUAAAAGUUUUAAAUCAACAAUAAUAUAUCCUUAUAAAUUGAUUAUUUUAUUUAA
Molecule: RNA transcript, 1462 nt
Organism: Musa acuminata AAA Group (dessert banana)
Lineage: Eukaryota; Viridiplantae; Streptophyta; Magnoliopsida; Zingiberales; Musaceae
Exons: 9
Source: RefSeq, a predicted model, not a curated record